GGGAAGGAGAAGAGGAAGAAGGAGGAGGAGGAGAAGAAAAGGAGAAGAACAUGUUCCCCCUGAGCUCUGCAGCCAUUCACAUCCUCACAGUACAGGGAAGAAGGUGCUGUGUGGGCAGAGGAGUGUUGAACAUCCCUCUCCUCCAGGUGUAUCCUGGCCCCAGAGCCAGUUCUGCUCCAACCCCGGCUCUGAAGGGACACAAACCCUCAGUGCUGUUCUGUCUGCAGAGUGCUGUGACAUCCCCUCCAGUGUCAGCUCAGGGAGUCCCUGCCCUGGGCUGUGGAACAGUUCCCUGUGCUUUGAUCUCCCGUGUUUGGGGGGUGUGCUCUGGAGUGCUGGAGCCUCUGCAAGUGCUGAACACUGACCCUGGGUUUUGCCUUCCAGGCCGAAGCUGGGAAGAGAGACCCGAAGAGAGAGGAAGGGAGCAGAGCAAGGUCCUGAAGUGAUUUAUAGAAAUGUUUGUCUGCUCUAGAACACCAGGACCCAGAAACGGGGUUGGUUUGUGCCAUUUCAAGCUGUUCUGUGGAUGCUGGUUGUAGUAAACUUUCUGUUUGU
Molecule: long non-coding RNA, 555 nt
Organism: Lepidothrix coronata (blue-crowned manakin)
Lineage: Eukaryota; Metazoa; Chordata; Aves; Passeriformes; Pipridae
Exons: 2
Source: RefSeq, a predicted model, not a curated record